This 389-nucleotide ribosomal RNA is filed under the name uncultured bacterium. RNAcentral's name for it is "bacterial SSU rRNA". It matches the Rfam family "Bacterial small subunit ribosomal RNA", at positions 29 to 420 of the family's 1533-position model. The record is from RNAcentral.
AUUGAACGCUGGCGGCAUGCCUUACACAUGCAAGUCGAACGGUAACGCGGGGCAACCUGGCGACGAGUGGCGAACGGGUGAGUAAUACAUCGGAACGUGCCCAGUAGUGGGGGAUAGCCCGGCGAAAGCCGGAUUAAUACCGCAUACGACCUACGGGUGAAAGCGGGGGAUCGCAAGACCUCGCGCUAUUGGAGCGGCCGAUGUCAGAUUAGCUAGUUGGUGGGGUAAAAGCCUACCAAGGCGACGAUCUGUAGCUGGUCUGAGAGGACGACCAGCCACACUGGGACUGAGACACGGCCCAGACUCCUACGGGAGGCAGCAGUGGGGGAAUUUUGGACAAUGGGGGCAACCCUGAUCCAGCCAUGCCGCGUGCGGGAAGAAGGCCUCGG